GCCUGGGUGGCUCAGUCGGUUAAGCGGCCGACUUCGGCUCGGGUCAUGAUCUCGCGGUCCGUGAGUUCGAGCCCCGCGUCGGGCUCUGUGCGGACAGCUCAGAGCCUGGAGCCUGUUUCGGAUUCUGUGUCUCCCUCUCUCUGACCCUCCCCGUUCAUGCUCUGUCUCUCUCUGUCUCAAAAAUAAAUAAACGUUAAAAAAAUAAUAAUAAUAAAAUAAAUAAA
Panthera uncia (snow leopard) is the source of this 224-nucleotide long non-coding RNA. RefSeq lists it as uncharacterized. The transcript has 2 exons. Lineage: Eukaryota; Metazoa; Chordata; Mammalia; Carnivora; Felidae. The record is from RefSeq and is a predicted model, not a curated record.